UACGUAGGGAGCAAGCGUUGUCCGGAAUCAUUGGGCGUAAAGCGCGCGUAGGUGGCCCCAUAAGUCCGCUGUGAAAGUCAAAGGCUCAACCUUUGAAAGCCGGUGGAUACUGUGGGACUAGAGUACGGAAGAGGCGAGUGGAAUUCCUGGUGUAGCGGUGGAAUGCGCAGAUAUCAGGAGGAACACCAAUAGCGAAGGCAGCUCGCUGGGACGUUACUGACACUGAGGCGCGAAAGCGUGGGGAGCAAACAGG
Molecule: ribosomal RNA, 253 nt
Filed under: uncultured bacterium
Lineage: Bacteria
Description: partial 16S ribosomal RNA
Rfam family: Bacterial small subunit ribosomal RNA
Source: RNAcentral